RNAcentral lists this ribosomal RNA (441 nucleotides) under uncultured soil bacterium. Its description in RNAcentral is "bacterial SSU rRNA". It matches the Rfam family "Bacterial small subunit ribosomal RNA", at positions 26 to 444 of the family's 1533-position model. The record is from RNAcentral.
AGAAUGAACGCUGGCGGCGCGCCUAAUACAUGCAAGUCGAGCGAGAAGACGUAGCAAUACGUUUGUAAAGCGGCGAACGGGUGAGGAAUACAUGGGUAACCUACCCUUGAGUGGGGAAUAACUAGCCGAAAGGUUAGCUAAUACCGCGUACGCUUCUUGGACUUCGGUUCAGGGAGGAAAGCGAUGCCGAGGGUAUCGCGCUCUUGGAUGGGCUCAUGUCCUAUCAGCUUGUUGGAGAGGUAACGGCUCACCGAGGGCUUCGACCGGGUAGCUGGGUCUGAGAGGACGAUCAGCCACACUGGCACUGCGACACGGGCAGACUCGACGGAGCAGCAGUAAGAUAUGCGCAAUGGGACGAAAGCCGUAGACGCCGAGGCGACGGCCGGCGGUGGGGGGAUGGAAGGUCGUUACGGAGUUUACGGUAAACCCCGUUUUCGGGAA